This 1033-nucleotide long non-coding RNA is filed under the name Equus caballus (horse). RNAcentral's name for it is "lncRNA (ENSECAG00000050090.1)". Lineage: Eukaryota; Metazoa; Chordata; Mammalia; Perissodactyla; Equidae. The record is from RNAcentral.
GCUGGUAUUUGUAAUUGAAAUUGUGGGUACUGUUUGCCUUAUUAGAUUAUUCUCUUGGAUUAACUUCCUGGAAUGCAACACUAGGACAAGCUCACUAAUAAGCACAAGGAACCUUCCUGAGAUCAUUGUUGGAUAAAAGAAACCCUCCUCUUAGGUUCUGACAGUUAAAAUAUAUAUUCAUGGGAUCAGGAGAACAGAAUCAUAAUUAUAUUAGUAAAACAGCUCACCUCAAUGAUUCCUAUUAUGGGUCUUUAGUCAUCGAAUAAGAAGUAGAAUAUCUAGAGGCUGGCGGCCCCUUCUGUCUAAAACAUUAGGAUUUUGUUAUCCCUUUUCUUUACAUGCAGCUUGCUUCCUGUGAUGGUGUUUGUCUGAGAACAAAGAGUGCAAUUUUUUUUAAAUCUAUUAAUUUUCUAUGCUGCUGUAACAAUCAACUUUGUAGUGUAAAACAACACCCACUUAAGAUCUCACCUGUUUGUAGGUCAGACGUCCAGCAGACUUGACUGGAUACUUUGCUUAGAGCAUCACAAGCCCGGAAUAAAGACGUCAGCAAGGCUAUGUUCUGUUCAGGAGGUUCUGAGGGAAGAAUCGGCUCCCAGGCUCGCUCAGGAUGUUGGCAGAAUUCAGUUGUAUGCAGUGUAGGACUGAGGUUCCCCAUGUCCUCAUUGGGUUGUUCUCAGCUUCUCAAGGUUACCCGCAUUCCUUGGCUUGUAAGUUCCUUCUCCCACCAUCAAACGCUGCAGUGAUAGUCCGAGUCCUUCCUACAUUUUGAAUCUCCCUGGUUCACCUUCUGCCUCAUCUCUUCUACUCUCUUUUAACACAUCUCUUUCUGAUGGCAGGUGGAGAAAGUUCUCUGCUUUUAAAGACUCCGGUGAUUACUUUGGGUCCACCUGGAUAACCCAGGCUAAUGUCUAUAUUUGAAGUGUUACAGGGCGUAGAAGAGUUCUCUUUAUCUGACUAAAUUUGACCAAAAUGUAAAAGCUUCAUUCAACAAGUAUUUAUUGAGCACCUGCUGUAUGCCACAGUGUUCUGGUUA